Molecule: ribosomal RNA, 413 nt
Filed under: uncultured bacterium
Lineage: Bacteria
Description: bacterial SSU rRNA
Rfam family: Bacterial small subunit ribosomal RNA
Source: RNAcentral
UGCCGUGAGAUGUUGGGUUAAGUCCCGCAACGAGCGCAACCCUUAUUGUUAGUUGCCAUCAUUCAGUUGGGCACUCUAGCGAGACUGCCGGUAAUAAACCGGAGGAAGGUGGGGAUGACGUCAAAUCAUCAUGCCCCUUAUGACCUGGGCUACACACGUGCUACAAUGGCUGGUACAACGAGUCGCAAGUCGGGGACGGCAAGGUAAUGUAUUAAAGCCAGUCUCAGUUCGGAUUGUAGGCUGCAACUCGCCUACAUGAAGUCGGAAUCGGUGGUAAUCGCGGAUCAGCACGCCGCGGUGAAUACGUUGCCGGGCCUUGUACCCACCGCCCGUCACACCACGAGAGUUUGUAACACCCGAAGUCGGUGAGGUAACCUUUAGGAGCCAGCCGCCUAAAGGUGGAAAUGAAGGGG